RNAcentral lists this non-coding RNA (230 nucleotides) under Platyophrya macrostoma. Lineage: Eukaryota; Ciliophora; Colpodea; Cyrtolophosidida; Platyophryidae. The record is from RNAcentral.
AAAACAAAAAUUUAACAAAAAAAAAAGAAGAAGAGAUUUUAUCACAGAUGAUUCAAAAAAGAAGGUAUGUAGCCUCUAUGCCUCUCCCUCUCUCUCUCUCUCUCUCUCUCUCUCUUUCUUUCUCUUUGUAUACCACGUGUGGUGUGUUGUUGUUAGGAAGGACCCCUCCUCUUCUGUCUGCGUGUCUGUUUACGAACCUGAGUGAAGAAGAAGAAGAAUAGAAAAAACAC